GCUGGAGUAGCUCAACGGUAGAGCAGCUGAUUUGUAAUCAGCAGGCUGCGGGUUCAAAUCCCAUCUCCAGCUCCA
Molecule: transfer RNA, 75 nt
Filed under: Clostridiales bacterium
Lineage: Bacteria; Bacillati; Bacillota; Clostridia; Eubacteriales
Description: tRNA-Thr
Rfam family: tRNA
About the family: Transfer RNA (tRNA) molecules are approximately 80 nucleotides in length. Their secondary structure includes four short double-helical elements and three loops (D, anti-codon, and T loops).
Source: RNAcentral